GACGAACGCUGGCGGCGUGCUUAACACAUGCAAGUCGAACGGUGAAGCGCCUUCCUUUUUGGUGGGUGUGGAUGAGUGGCGAACGGGUGAGUAACACGUGAGUAACCUGCCCCCUUCUUCUGGAUAACCGCAUGAAAGUGUGGCUAAUACGGGAUAUUCUGGGUCUGUCGCAUGAUGGGUCUGGGAAAGAUAUUGUUUCGGUGGGGGAUGGGCUCGCGGCCUAUCAGCUUGUUGGUGGGGUGAUGGCCUACCAAGGCGGUGACGGGUAGCCGGCCUGAGAGGGUGGCCGGUCACACUGGUACUGCGACACGGCCCCGACUCCUACGGGAGGCAGCAGUGGAGAAUAUUGCACGAUGGGCGCAAGCCUGAUGCAGCGACGCCGCGUGAGUGAUGGAGGCCUUCGGGUUGUGAACCUCUUUCGCCAGUGAAGCAGGCCUGCCUCGUUUGUGGGUGGGUUGACGGUAGCUGGAUAAGAAGCGCCGGCUAACUACGUG
This 494-nucleotide ribosomal RNA is filed under the name uncultured bacterium. RNAcentral's name for it is "partial 16S ribosomal RNA". It matches the Rfam family "Bacterial small subunit ribosomal RNA", at positions 28 to 507 of the family's 1533-position model. The record is from RNAcentral.